UGAAUAGUGGCAUUGUAAAGCGCUUUGGGUGCCUUGAAAAGCGCUAUAAAAAUCCAAUCCAUUAUUAUUAUUAUUAUUAAACUAAAACUAAAGCUUCUGAUUUUCCCGAGCCUCAGCUGCGACACCUUUUUACUUAUCUCCUCAUUAGUGAUCAAUAUUUAAAGACCGACUUUAUCUUCCUCUCUCUGUCAGGUUGGUGUUGCCUCCAGGGUGGUAAUUGUCUUCUUCAUGCUUAGAACUAGCUUCUGCCCAGUUACCUGUUUUCAUUGAUAGUGUUUAUCCUCAAGUUAUCUUGAGGUCUUUUAAAUCUGCUGUCAGUCUCUGGGUGCAGCUUCACGAGUCAUUUAGUGAACAUGACCCACAUGCAGUAAAUACAGUAAGCAAGAAAUUGUCACACAUCACGGUGUUGCUAUAGGAGUCCCCCAUGUCCUCCAGGUAUGGACUUGCCUUCUUUCUUUCGCUCUCUCUUUUCCUCCUUUGUCAGUGGAUCAGCAUGUGGGUGGAACUAACCACCAGGAGAGGGUGUCAUCCAGUCCGUCUCAAUCACUGGUAGUACUUCAACCAGGCUCUCAUUGCCAAGCUGUUAUCCUCCUCAGCGUGGUAGUGUAUCUCAGGCUGUGUUGCAGUUUUUAUUAAUAAUCUGCUUGCCCUGCAAUUCUGUACCUGUACUUUCCAGCUUGUCUCCUCCUGCUUUGUAGGGAAUUUUGUUUGCUGUGGCUAACCCACUUCCAAUGCGCUCUCUGGAAACUGAGAAACUGGAGGUGGAGCCUGUGGAAAGGACUGAAGAGCUAAAAAAGAAAGCAGGACUUACCUGAGGUUGCCCAUACUGUUCGUGCGCACUUGCAGCCACCCAGCGCUUAUUCAUUUUGAAUUAAAAGGAUAUGCAUCUUCAUUCUUCAUGAUUGUAAAUAAAAUGGGGAACCGCUCAUAAAAGCCCUGACCACACCGUUUCUGGAGGUACAACAGCUGUGUUCAAAUCCUCUGUAAAGAUUAAUGAAUAGAUUUCAGAAACAACAAAGGAAAACGGAAAACAGAGGAAACUGAUGUCUCAGUAAGUCUGAUCAUCUUUUAAGACUGACAGGGAGAAAAGCUUGCUGCCUCAGAGUCGAGCGCAUUUCACAGACAAACCCAUGUUGUGACACCAAAGGAAAAAACAACAGCUGACACGCUAAAAGCCUUUGUUCAACCACUGAAAUGCCUAUACAAAGCUGGUUUUGAGGCCUGAAGCAUCGCGCGUCAGGAUUUUACCUGCGAUCUAUAAACAGCAACCGUAAUCAGACAGAAUAUCAGCUGCUUUUUAAAACGUAGAAGCCUGUUUUUAAUUAACAGCAGAUGUUCUUAGGUGUUGUAACAACAGGAUGCCUCAGUCAAUAAUUAGAGUUUAACACUAGUAUCCCCUGGUGAUGGAGUUUUGUGUUUCCCUCCAAACCCCUGCCUUAGUGAACUGCAACAAAGUCAUGUAGACUUAAAGCUUUUUUUUCUUAAUACCAGUGAUUGCAAAUUUUGUGUAUCAUGAAAAUUUUUUAACGCUUUGUUGCGAUGUGCAUUGGCUUGAGAAAAAAAAAGAAACGAGGUUUCUCCCAAUUAAAUUUGAUUUAUGUGGCAGCACUUACUCUAAAAACUAUAAUGUAUUUGUUGUCAAAAACCUUUUGUGCAUUUG
Long non-coding RNA from Astatotilapia calliptera (eastern happy), 1660 nucleotides. The record is from Ensembl. NCBI's taxonomy places the organism in Eukaryota, Metazoa, Chordata, Actinopteri, Cichliformes, Cichlidae.